GACAGAGGGUGCAAACGUUGCUCGGAAUUACUGGGCGUAAAGCGCGUGUAGGCGGACCGGGAAGUCAGGUGUGAAAUCCCUAGGCUCAACCUAGGAACUGCAUUUGAAACUUCCGGUCUGGAGGAAUGGAGAGGGAAGCGGAAUUCCUGGUGUAGAGGUGAAAUUCGUAGAUAUCAGGAGGAACACCGGUGGCGAAGGCGGCUUCCUGGACAUUUUCUGACGCUGAGACGCGAAAGCGUGGGGAGCAAACAGG
Molecule: ribosomal RNA, 253 nt
Filed under: uncultured bacterium
Lineage: Bacteria
Description: partial 16S ribosomal RNA
Rfam family: Bacterial small subunit ribosomal RNA
Source: RNAcentral